This 497-nucleotide ribosomal RNA is filed under the name uncultured bacterium. Its description in RNAcentral is "partial 16S ribosomal RNA". It matches the Rfam family "Bacterial small subunit ribosomal RNA", at positions 28 to 507 of the family's 1533-position model. The record is from RNAcentral.
GAUGAACGCUGGCGGCGUGCCUAAUACAUGCAAGUCGAACGCAUAGCGAAAGGUGCUUGCACCUUUCAAGUGAGUGGCGAACGGGUGAGUAACACGUGGACAACCUGCCUCAAGGCUGGGGAUAACAUUUGGAAACAGAUGCUAAUACCGAAUAAAACUUAGUGUCGCAUGACACAAAGUUAAAAGGCGCUUCGGCGUCACCUAGAGAUGGAUCCGCGGUGCAUUAGUUAGUUGGUGGGGUAAAGGCCUACCAAGACAAUGAUGCAUAGCCGAGUUGAGAGACUGAUCGGCCACAUUGGGACUGAGACACGGCCCAAACUCCUACGGGAGGCUGCAGUAGGGAAUCUUCCACAAUGGGCGAAAGCCUGAUGGAGCAACGCCGCGUGUGUGAUGAAGGCGUUCGGGUCGGAAAGCACUGUUGUAUGGGAAGAACAGCUAGAAUAGGAAAUGAUUUUAGUUUGACGGUACCAGACCAGAAAGGGACGGCUAAAUACGUG